GUAGGUGGCAAGCGUUGUCCGGAAUUAUUGGGCGUAAAGCGCGCGCAGGUGGUUCUUUAAGUCUGAUGUGAAAGCCCCCGCUCGACGGGGAGGGUCAUUGGAAACUGGGGAACUUGAGUGCAGGAGAGGAAAGUGGAAUUCCACGUGUAGCGGUGAAAUGCGUAGAUAUGUGGAGGAACACCAGUGGCGAAGGCGACUUUCUGGCCUGUAACUGACACUGAGGCGCGAAAGCGUGGGGAGCAAACAGGAUUAGAUACCCUGGUAGUCCACGCCGUAAACGAUGAGUGCUAAGUGCUGGGGGGUUUCCGCCCCUCAGUGCUGCAGCUAACGCAUUAAGCACUCCGCCUGGGGAGUACGGUCGCAAGACUG
RNAcentral lists this ribosomal RNA (369 nucleotides) under uncultured organism. RNAcentral's name for it is "partial 16S ribosomal RNA". It matches the Rfam family "Bacterial small subunit ribosomal RNA", at positions 527 to 896 of the family's 1533-position model. The record is from RNAcentral.